Molecule: ribosomal RNA, 387 nt
Filed under: uncultured bacterium
Lineage: Bacteria
Description: bacterial SSU rRNA
Rfam family: Bacterial small subunit ribosomal RNA
Source: RNAcentral
AUUGAACGCUGGCGGAAUGCUUUACACAUGCAAGUCGAGCGGCAGCACGGGGCAACCCUGGUGGCGAGCGGCGAACGGGUGAGUAACACAUCGGAACGUACCCUGUCGUGGGGGAUAACGAGUCGAAAGAUUCGCUAAUACCGCAUACGACCCGAGGGUGAAAGCGGGGGAUCGCAAGACCUCGCGCGACUGGAGCGGCCGAUGGCGGAUUAGCUAGUUGGUGGGGUAAAGGCCCCACCAAGGCGACGAUCCGUAGCGGGUCUGAGAGGACAGCCCGCCACACUGGGACUGAGACACGGCCCAGACUCCUACGGGAGGCAGCAGUGGGGAAUUUUGGACAAUGGGCGCAAGCCUGAUCCAGCCAUGCCGCGUGAGUGAAGAAGGCCU